RNAcentral lists this ribosomal RNA (253 nucleotides) under uncultured bacterium. RNAcentral describes it as "partial 16S ribosomal RNA". It matches the Rfam family "Bacterial small subunit ribosomal RNA", at positions 524 to 776 of the family's 1533-position model. The record is from RNAcentral.
UACGUAGGGUGCGAGCGUUGUCCGGAAUUAUUGGGCGUAAAGGGCUCGUAGGCGGUUUGUCGCGUCGGGAGUGAAAUCCACUGGCUUAACUGGUGGCUUGCUUUCGAUACGGGCAGACUGGAGGUAUGCAGGGGAGAACGGAAUUCCUGGUGUAGCGGUGAAAUGUGUAGAUAUUCGGAAGAACACCAGUGGCGAAGGCAGCGACUUGGCUCUGUACUGACGCUCAGGCACGAAAGCAUGGGGAUCAAACAGG